GGGGUUGUGGCUUAGUGGUAGAGUGCUUGCCUGGCACGCAUGGCCUGAGAUAGUAAGUUGGAUCCCAGCACCA
Molecule: transfer RNA, 73 nt
Filed under: Marmota monax (woodchuck)
Lineage: Eukaryota; Metazoa; Chordata; Mammalia; Rodentia; Sciuridae
Description: tRNA.Ala
Source: RNAcentral